RNAcentral lists this ribosomal RNA (440 nucleotides) under uncultured bacterium. RNAcentral's name for it is "partial 16S ribosomal RNA". It matches the Rfam family "Bacterial small subunit ribosomal RNA", at positions 338 to 795 of the family's 1533-position model. The record is from RNAcentral.
CCUACGUGAGGCAGCAGUAGGGAAUAUUGCUCAAUGGGGGAAACCCUGAACCAGCAACGCCGCGUGAAGGAUGAAGGUUUUCUGAUUGUAAACUCCUUUUGUUAGAGAAGAUAAUGACGGUAUCUAACCAAUAAGCACCGGCUAACUCCGUGCCAGCCGCCUCGGUAAUACGGAGGGUGCAAGCGUUACUCGGAAUCGCUGGGCGUAAAGAGCGGGUAGGCGGGAUAGCAAGUCAGAUGUGAAAUCCUAUGGCUUAACCAGAGAACUGCAUUUGAAACUGUUAUUCUAGAGUAUGGGAGAGGUAGGUGGAAUUCUGGGUGUAGGGGUAAAAUCCGUAGAGAUCAAGAGGAAUACUCAUUGCGAAGGCGACCUGCUAGAACAUAACUGACGCUGAUGCGCGAAAGCGUGGGGAGCAAACAGGAUUAGAUACCCGUGUAGUC